GCGGGGACAGACACCUGUGCGUGCCAGGGGGCCCGUAGCCCCUCCCCGCUCUUUGUUCUGCUCUUUGUCUCGAUCUGCCCGGAGAAACGAGGACGCAGAGAGAGAGGCGCCCCUCACCCAGAAUAGCCCACCCUGCCCUGCUCUGCUCUGGGGCUCUCCUAAAUCCCUUCAAGGGCUGGCGGUUUUCUGAUGCUGCGGCAGCUCUCGUGUUCUUCCCUUCUGUGGAGCCCGGGGCACCCCUCCUGGACCUCCCCCUUCCCGUAAGUGUCCUCCCAUUCCAGUUUCAGUAAGCGGGCCGCCCCUCAGCUACACCAGACCGAGUUCAGCGGCUGCCCCUCACGCCCGGCCCCGGGAACCGAGGACCCGGUCAGCGCCGGGCCCAUUUCCAGGUGGAAGAUCCCUGCGACCCCCUCCCCUCACCUGUGGGGGAGGGGGAGGCCAAGAGAAACGAUUGGGGGAGGGGCACUCCCACUGUUCUGGGCCUGACGUCACAAAGCCCCCUACUCUACUCCUCGCUUCUCCCUCAGUUUUGGGAGCGGACUAGCCCCGCCCUCCGGUGACGUCACAGCGACUACCCCUCCCACCUUUUAUUAAACCUAACUCUUCUUUGUCUCAGUGUGAGGAUGUUCGGGGACGAGAGAGGUUGAGGGUCUGCAGGCCCCCGCCAGUUCCGUUCCCGGCCCCCGUGAGACCCCUCCUCUCCAUUCUCCCCAUCUUCCAGACUGACGGAUCCCGAGGGUCCUGCUAGUGCCUAAGCGGCUGUGAGUGAGAUGAAGAACUGAGGCAAAGAGUGUUAAAUGAGUUUCCCACACUUACACAGCUAAUAAGUGUCCAAGGCUGAAUUUGAACACCUGAAGAUGAGCUCUCCUGACUCCAGGUCCAUCGCUCUAUCCACUGAACCACCCAGCUGCCCAUGGUUGUACUGUCAUGUCUCCAAGGGGUCCCUCUGAUGCCUCGGGAGGAAUUUAGGAAAAAGUGGACCAUUUAUCUCUUGGACAAGGAAAGCUCUGGCUUCAAAGGAGAGAAAGAGACGGAAAGGAAGUCAUGAGCCUUGGAAGAGAGGGGUCCAGGAGAUGAUUCAAGGACACAUGGGAGCCGGGGACAGAGAAGCAAGAACAGGAUAGAUCAAGAGGAUGUUGUAGCCAGCCACAGCCACAGAAAGAACUGAGCAACAUGUGGACUGAGGAAAGACACGUGGAACCUGAGCAUGGAUGGACAAAGGAAGACAAGCAGAUGCCAGACUUGAAGAUAAGUGGGCAGAGCCAUCAAAAGGUUCCUCUCUCAGUUCAGGAGAUCUCAAGCCAAGCCUGGAUGCUGAAGCUUCAGAGAUGGAAGGAAUCACUCUGAAUGACAAAAUCCUUUUUUUCCUCCUUCCCACCUUUUCAUUAUUGCCCUUUAAAUUCUUUUCCUCAUUUAAAAAAUGUUCAUGGAUGUUUUUCUUUCUUUCGCAUUAUAGUAUCCCAUGUAUACCGCCCUCUCCCUCUGCUUCCUGAGAGUCAUGCCAUGUAACAAAUGGUAUUUUGUGUUUUAGGAAGGAAAAAAAAAAUCAACACAACUAUAUAGUCCAGAGAGGAAAAGACAUUUGUGGUAGGAGCAUCUUUUUGGGAACACUCCAGUUAUCAUGGGCUUGCUCUCUGUUGAAGCACUUCUAAUCUCUGAACAUUUGGAGGAAAAGACACUUGUGGCAGGAGAAACUCUCUGGGAACAUUUGGUGUAAGAAAGAGAUUGGGAAAGCCUUCUGGGUGAAGAAACCAACCUUUGAGAGAAACAAUGGUGGGCUCUAUGGUCCCUCCAGUACGGUCUGAGACCUCACCUUGUUUCCCUUAAUAAAGGUUGGUUCCUUUGCCUAGAAGACCUUCCCAGUCUCUUUCUUACACUAGUUGCUGUAGGAUUGCUCUCUAUGGAAACGCAUCUAGACUCAGAACAUUGAGCAGACAAGAUCUUUGUGGCAGGAGACACUCUUUCUGGGGACAGUCCACUUAAUACGGGUUUCCUCUCUGGGAAAGCCCAGCAAGAGAAAAAUUGGACAUUUAAUGAAAUAGAGGCCGCUGAAGCAUUCCUGAACAAAAGACAAGUGGUGACUUUCAAAUAAGAGUCAAGAGAAUCAUUAAAACGUAAAUAUGAUAGAGACAUCAUAAGUAACUCCAUGUUGUUAAACUGGAUACUCUCCUAAAAGGGAAGAUGAUAAACUUAUCUCCUAAGAAUUUUAUCAUUACUCGACAAGGUAGAAGGUUUCUACUUAGAAAAAAGUGUUUGGGAGUGAGAUAUGUAGAUGGGGAAAUUGUAAAAUAAAUGGACAGGUGAGAAAUUGGAUGACCUGGAAGAUGGUAGAACAAAGAAUGGAGGAAAUGAUGUCAUAAAAAAAGGCAAGCAAGAUAGAGCUUUUAUCUUGGUAUGGAAAGUGGUGGUUGUGGCAGGGGAACAGGAUUGUUGUUUGAAUAUCCGUCAUGUCUAAAUUGGUUCAAACAGGCAAAAUAACUACAUUUAUUAUAUGUAUACCUACUUAUUCAACUGGUCAUAAAAAUCUAUUUUACACUGCAGGUAAGUAACAGAAUGGAAGAAGAGAAAGAAAAAGUGGUGAUAAAUGUUGGACAGCUAAAAACUUCAGUGAUCAUAUGCAAAACAGAAAUUAGUGGGGACAGGAUAAAAAGAGAGAGAAGGAAAAAAAAAACAAAGAAAAUAGCAUGGAGGGAAGUCAUGACUGUGUGAAUGGGAUGAACUCAUUCAUAAAAGUGAAGUGGGUAGCAAAAUGAAUUAGAAACAGGAAUUCAACAAUGUUUGUUUUUAUAAGAAACACACUUGAAAUAAAGAGAGAA
Molecule: long non-coding RNA, 2816 nt
Organism: Antechinus flavipes (yellow-footed antechinus)
Lineage: Eukaryota; Metazoa; Chordata; Mammalia; Dasyuromorphia; Dasyuridae
Exons: 4
Source: RefSeq, a predicted model, not a curated record